CAAGAGCGUAUGUAAAAGUUGUUGCAGUUAAAAAGCUCGUAGUUGAACCUUGGGUUUGGCUGGCCGGUCCGCUUUUUUGCGAGUACUGGAUUCAACCGAGCCUUUCCUUCUGGCUAACCAGUCGUUUCGGCGGCUGGCGAACCAGGAUUUUUACUUUGAGAAAAUUAGAGUGUUCAAAGCAGGCAUUAGCUUGAAUAUAUUAGCAUGGAAUAAUAGAAUAGGACGUUAUGGUUCUAUUUUGUUGGUUUCUAGGACCAUCGUAAUGAUUAAUAGGGACGGUCGGGGGCAUCAGUAUUCAGUUGUCAGAGGUGAAAUUCUUGGAUUUACUGAAGACUAACUACUGCGAAAGCAUUUGCCAAGGACGUUUUCAUUAA
Molecule: ribosomal RNA, 374 nt
Filed under: uncultured eukaryote
Lineage: Eukaryota
Description: partial 18S ribosomal RNA
Rfam family: Eukaryotic small subunit ribosomal RNA
Source: RNAcentral